UCCCUCUCAGGGUCACACUUGGAGAGUUUCCAGUACUCUACCAGUCUCGGCUAUGGGAGGGACAGUCAAGUAGAGUCACACCCAUUCUAUUCCUAGCUUGGCCAGUGGCUAGCGAGUGGAAGGUAAUCUGCUACAAGU
Small nucleolar RNA from Tachyglossus aculeatus (Australian echidna), 138 nucleotides. The record is from RefSeq and is a predicted model, not a curated record. NCBI's taxonomy places the organism in Eukaryota, Metazoa, Chordata, Mammalia, Monotremata, Tachyglossidae.